AACGAACGCUGGCGGCAGGCCUAACACAUGCAAGUCGAGCGCGCCUUCGGGUGAGCGGCGGACGGGUGAGUAACGCGUGGGAAUAUGCCCUUCUCUACGGAAUAGUCCUGGGAAACUGGGGGUAAUACCGUAUACGCCCUUUGGGGGAAAGAUUUAUCGGGGAAGGAUUAGCCCGCGUUGGAUUAGGUAGUUGGUGGGGUAAUGGCCUACCAAGCCGACGAUCCAUAGCUGGUUUGAGAGGAUGAUCAGCCACACUGGGACUGAGACACGGCCCAGACUCCUACGGGAGGCAGCAGUGGGGAAUCUUAGACAAUGGGGGCAACCCUGAUCUAGCCAUGCCGCGUGAGUGAUGAAGGCCUUAGGGUUGUGAAGCUCUUUCAGCUGGGAAGAUAAUGACGGUACCAGCAGAAGAAGCCCCGGCUAACUCCGUG
Molecule: ribosomal RNA, 431 nt
Filed under: uncultured bacterium
Lineage: Bacteria
Description: partial 16S ribosomal RNA
Rfam family: Bacterial small subunit ribosomal RNA
Source: RNAcentral